This is a non-coding RNA of Pangasianodon gigas (Mekong giant catfish), 75 nucleotides long. The record is from the annotation of a GenBank genome assembly. Lineage: Eukaryota; Metazoa; Chordata; Actinopteri; Siluriformes; Pangasiidae.
UGGUAGAGCUCAGUUGGUAGAACAUGGGACCCUUGAUCUCAGGACUGUGGGUUUGAGCCCCACACUGGGUGCCAA